RNAcentral lists this transfer RNA (75 nucleotides) under Spirochaetaceae bacterium. RNAcentral describes it as "tRNA-Trp". It matches the Rfam family "tRNA". Rfam says of the family: Transfer RNA (tRNA) molecules are approximately 80 nucleotides in length. Their secondary structure includes four short double-helical elements and three loops (D, anti-codon, and T loops). RNAcentral also lists the same sequence under 1 other name. The record is from RNAcentral. Lineage: Bacteria; Pseudomonadati; Spirochaetota; Spirochaetia; Spirochaetales; Spirochaetaceae.
AGGCCAGUAGCUCCAACUGGUUAGAGCGCCGGUCUCCAAAACCGGAUGUUGCAGGUUCGAAUCCUGCCUGGCCUG